AUUUAACACCGUUAGAUUUUAAUAAAAGAGUGAAAGGGUAGGGGACAGGUCCCAAGGAAGGAAAAACCUGUCCUAGGUCCUAGUCAACGUUAAAAGUUGCGGUGAUUUUGCGGAUAGCCUCCAUUGUAAGAUUUAUUAGUAUUGUUAGAGUGCAGUUUUGCGACUGCUGCUGGUCCUUGCACGCCAUCCUUUGCAUAUUGCUGCCACAUCAUCUGUUCUUCAACCAAAAACCUCUGCUUCUUCUCCAUAUCUGACAUUUGAACGUAAGAGGGAGGAGCCACAGCCAAUGAAGCUGCAAAUGGAUCUGAAUUGGAAUCUCCAUGUCCUGAUGUUGGGGGUGCUGGCAAUGCUAGCAUUGAAGGCCUUCCAGCCGAACCAAGUGCCACACUACUAGAACUUCCACUCAUCCCAUACCCUGGUCCUUGCAUGACUCUAUUCACCUCUGCGUGUUUAUACAUGCCAUCCAACAAUAAUGUAUCAAAGCCACCACUAUAUGUAGGCUUUUGGUUGGACAAGUUGGAUGUUGAUUGCACAAGUGCUGUUUCCCAAUCUGCC
Molecule: small RNA, 555 nt
Filed under: Vigna angularis var. angularis
Lineage: Eukaryota; Viridiplantae; Streptophyta; Magnoliopsida; Fabales; Fabaceae
Description: Non-protein coding transcript
Source: RNAcentral